This is a long non-coding RNA of Centruroides sculpturatus (bark scorpion), 340 nucleotides long. RefSeq lists it as uncharacterized. The record is from RefSeq and is a predicted model, not a curated record. NCBI's taxonomy places the organism in Eukaryota, Metazoa, Arthropoda, Arachnida, Scorpiones, Buthidae. The transcript is spliced from 3 exons.
UUAAAAUGUAAUGAUCUGAAAAAUCCAAAAUGUCAUAUUUGACACGAAAAAGACUAAUUGUUGCGUAAUAAAUUCCGCAACAAUUUUCCGUUCCUCGACAAUAAAAUAUUUGAUAAAAAGAAAACAGGAGUACAUGUUCACCAUAUUUUUUGGUAGUCUUGUUUCCAAAAUCUUGUGGAAUGAAAAAUUUUUCUGGACCGACUGGAGGCAGCAACUACCAAAGGAAGCUAUGUGUGGACAAUCGCUGCUACUAAACAAAAUUUUUACGGAAAGAGUUAUUACCGCGAGGUGUUAGCAACUGAUCCUGUGUUUAGCAUAAUUCAACAAAAAUUAAAAUUCA